UUCUCUGACUGGAGGUAAGCCUACUGGCUCUCUGAAAACAUGGUGGUAAGAGUCCAGCACAGUCUGCAAUGGAAGUUCCUCUGCCUGCAAUGUAGGGAGGUGUCCAUCCCAGGAGUUGAUAGAGUUGUCCCCAUGGUCCAGCAUUCGUAGGCUACAGAUGUUCACCCCUGCCCAGGAAGUUGUAUUAGUGAGUAAGCCAUUUAGCUCUUCUAAUGGAAUGGACUGGGUGAGAGUCGGGUGGUCCCCUUUUAAUGUCACUUCCUUCCCUUGCCACCAAAAAGUCAUCCAUUUGUCCUCAUAAUUAGCUAGUAUAUCACCCAACAAUUUUAACCACUGUAUACCCAGGACCAUAUCAUAGUUUUGCAAGGCCAUUACAAACACAUCAGCCUGGAACUGGGUGCCUUGCAUUUUCCACUGCAGGUUCUUGCAGAUUUGAGCACAAGCCAUGGUGCCCCCAUUGGCUGCUUCAACUAGCAUGGGUUUGAUGGAAGUGAGGAGGCAAUUGUGUUUGUUUGCUAGGUUAAUAUUAAGGAAAUUGUGAGUGCUGCCGGAGUCAAUCAGGAUUAAUAUAGGGCACUUGUCUAGUUUACCCCAUACUUUGAUGGUGUGGCAGCCGGUGGUGCCUUGCAAGGCAUGUAAUGACAGAUGAGGAGUAAGUUCUUCUUCCUUCAUGGCUUCAAGGGUUUCUUCCUCUUCAGAAUGAUCUUCUUCAUCUGCAAGGAUGCAUAAGGAAUAUAGUUUCCUAUUUCUGCACCUAUGUCCUGGCACAAAUCUUUCAUCACACCAAAAGCAUAAGCCCUUGGCCCUUCGCUCCUCCAUUUCUCGAGUUCUGAUGGGUCUAGAAGGUCGGUUGUUGAGGUUAGCAGGAGGGUUAUUAAAAGGUGGUCGGUUAGGGGUGGGUAGGAGAGCAGGUUGGGGAACCUUAGAAGUAGUGAAGGUGGGGCUGGGAGGUAGUUUGUUUGGGUUGAUGGUGUAGGUUGAUCUCUGGUUUUGCUGAUAAGAGUUUGCUUGAGCUAGAUUUUUAGAGUAGUGUGGGCAGUUUUUUCUGUAAGUGAGGGUGUUGUCAUGGAGCCUAGAUAGGUUAUAUGCUUGUUUGAGAGAUUUCGGUUCAAACAUCUUCACUAAAUUCUUAAUUUCAGUUUCCAAUCCUCCCAAGAAAAAUACUAAUGCUUGUUUUUCCGUUACCUGAGCUCUAUUCCAUAGCAUGUCGAACUCCUUGAUAUAGACUUCGAGAUCACCAGCUUGUUUGUGUUCUGUCAACUCUUCCAAGGGAUCCUUUUGUCCUCCAAACCGGCAGCACAGGGCCUCCACAUACUCAGCCCAAGUAGCUUCCUGUCCUUCCAAAUUUCUGAUGAAGUUCUGGUGCCAGUACAGUGCCAACCCAUCCAGGUAGUAGGAGGCUAGCUUCAAUUUAUCUUGCUCUGCUAUCUCCUCAAGGUCAAAGUAUUGGUUGCAUUUAUACAACCACUUAUGCACCUCGUCGCCUUCAAAAGUAGGAAAGUUCCUCUUAGGUUUGUGAGCCCUGUAGGAUCCUUGCGAUCCUUCUCCCAUCCAACCAGGACUGCAUGUCGUUGUAGGCUGAUGAGGGGCAGGGUGCUGUUGCGAUGAGCUGGUCUCUCCAGUGAGAGCUUGCAAGGUAUGUUUUAUUGCAAUCUGCUGAGUAGCUAUUUCUUUUAUCAUGGCUUUGAGUUGGCCAAGAUCAUCUGACUGUGAGUUUAUUUUGAUUUCUAUUCCAUCGAUUCUUUGGUUAGCAGCUUCCAAGGAAUCAUCGCAUCGUCUGACAUCUUGGGACCUGGUCUCUGGAGGCAUUUUGUGGAGGUCCAAAGAUGAAGCUCUGAUACCACUUUGCUGCGAGUUACUUUUCCAGUGUUAAAUCAACAGAGUCUAGUUGAUCAACAGAUUAGGGAGGGAAGGAGAAUUUAGAAGAGAGGGAGAAGAAGGUUACACAUGCCUGGCAUGUGUUGCCCACGAUGAAGAACGAGAGAGAAAUGAGGAAAAGAAUACUGAAUUCUGUUGUAAAAAAUGCAUGCCUUCUGUUACAAUUUGCGGGGUAUUUAUAUCCCUUCUUCAGUUCUGUUAUUUCCUAUUUUUA
Molecule: long non-coding RNA, 2092 nt
Filed under: Populus tremula
Lineage: Eukaryota; Viridiplantae; Streptophyta; Magnoliopsida; Malpighiales; Salicaceae
Description: long non-coding RNA (PTRE_LNC000368)
Source: RNAcentral